UGCCAGCCGCCGCGGUAAUACGAAGGGUGCUAGCGUUGUUCGGAAUUACUGGGCGUAAAGAGCAUGUAGGCGGAUGAAUUAGUCAGAGGUGAAAGCCCCGAGCUCAACCUGGGAAUAGCGCUUGAUACUGCAUUGCUUGAGUCCGGGAGAGGUGAGCGGAAUUCCCAGUGUAGAGGUGAAAUUCGUAGAUAUUGGGAAGAACACCGGUGGCGAAGGCGGCUAACUGGCUCGGUACUGACGCUGAGAUGCGAAAGCGUGGGGAGCAAACAGGAUUAGAUA
Molecule: ribosomal RNA, 279 nt
Filed under: uncultured bacterium
Lineage: Bacteria
Description: partial 16S ribosomal RNA
Rfam family: Bacterial small subunit ribosomal RNA
Source: RNAcentral